GAUGAAGAACGCAGCGAAAUGCGAUAAGUAAUGUGAAUUGCAGAAUUCAGUGAAUCAUCGAAUCUUUGAACGCACAUUGCGCCCGCCAGUAUUCUGGCGGGCAUGCCAGUUCGAGCGUCAUUACAACCCUCAGGCCCCCGGGCCUGGCGUUGGGGAUCGGCGGAAGCCCCCUGCGGGCACAACGCCGUCCCCCAAAUACAGUGGCGGUCCCGCCGCAGCUUCCAUUGCGUAGUAGCUAACACCUCGCAACUGGAGAGCGGCGCGGCCACGCCGUAAAACACCCAACUUCUGAAUGUUGACCUCGAAUCAGGUAGGAAUACCCGCUGAACUUAAGCAUAUCAAUAAGCGGAGGA
Molecule: unclassified non-coding RNA, 353 nt
Filed under: soil metagenome
Description: partial contains 5.8S ribosomal RNA, internal transcribed spacer 2, and large subunit ribosomal RNA
Rfam family: 5.8S ribosomal RNA (bases 1-120)
Source: RNAcentral